RNAcentral lists this ribosomal RNA (253 nucleotides) under uncultured bacterium. RNAcentral describes it as "partial 16S ribosomal RNA". It matches the Rfam family "Bacterial small subunit ribosomal RNA", at positions 524 to 776 of the family's 1533-position model. The record is from RNAcentral.
GACAGAGGGGGCAAGCGUUGCUCGGAAUCACUGGGCGUAAAGGGCGCGUAGGCGGGACGCCAAGUCGGUCGUGAAAUCUCCGGGCUCAACCCGGAGGAGUCGGCCGAAACUGGUGUUCUUGAGGGAGGCAGAGGAGUCUGGAAUUCUCGGUGUAGCGGUGAAAUGCGUAGAUAUCGAGAGGAACACCUGCGGCGAAGGCGGGUUGCUGGGCUGACACUGACGCUGAGGCGCGAAAGCUAGGGGAGCGAACGGG